AUCCCUCUAACGCCUUGUUGUAGGAGGAUGCACAUCCAGGAGUGGUACACCAGAUAACCUGAUCUUCCCACCUAUGUCUGGCUCCCAGAGCAGCAGGGAGGGGAUCGUGGGCAUUGUUAGUUAAGCUGCUUCUCCCCCACUAGCACUGCAGUUUCCAUCUAGCCCUGUCGUCCUGGGUCUUCUAACUGCCAUCAGCAACUGUCUACUUUAACUGUUAUUUCUAGGACCUCUUGAAUCCACAACUGCAAUCCUGAAGAGAAAUGCAGGCACAAAAGAGCAGAUGAAAGUUUUCAUGCGGAAAGGAAAUGAAUAAUUGCUCUUGCAUAAAAACAAAGCGAGCUAUAAAUCAUACCUACAAGCCAAGCGAGAGAAUUUGCAGAACAACAAAAUACCCCCCCAGAACAAACAAACCAAAAUCUUACAAUCACCUGGAAGUACAGCCAACUCAAAGAGCAAGUCACCAAGCAGAUGCAAGAAUUCUUCACAUCAUGACCAUCAGCAGUCUAGGAAGAGGCAUAAGUAUGAGGACCUCCACAAAAACCUUACUGCCAGAAACCGCAUGUAAGAAGAGC
RNAcentral lists this long non-coding RNA (572 nucleotides) under Gallus gallus (chicken). RNAcentral describes it as "long non-coding RNA NONGGAT011734". Lineage: Eukaryota; Metazoa; Chordata; Aves; Galliformes; Phasianidae. The record is from RNAcentral.